CCUACGGGAGGCAGCAGUGAGGAAUAUUGGUCAAUGGACGAGAGUCUGAACCAGCCAAGUAGCGUGAAGGAUGACUGCCCUAUGGGUUGUAAACUUCUUUUAUAUGGGAAUAAAAUGUUCCACGUGUGGGAUUUUGUAUGUACCAUAUGAAUAAGGAUCGGCUAACUCCGUGCCAGCAGCCGCGGUAAUACGGAGGAUCCGAGCGUUAUCCGGAUUUAUUGGGUUUAAAGGGAGCGUAGGUGGAUUGUUAAGUCAGUUGUGAAAGUUUGCGGCUCAACCGUAAAAUUGCAGUUGAAACUGGCAGUCUUGAGUACAGUAGAGGUGGGCGGAAUUCGUGGUGUAGCGGUGAAAUGCUUAGAUAUCACGAAGAACUGCGAUUGCGAAGGCAGUUCACUGGACUGCAACUGACACUGAGGCUCGAAAGUGUGGGUAUCAAACAGGAUUAGAUACCCGUGUAGUC
RNAcentral lists this ribosomal RNA (460 nucleotides) under uncultured bacterium. RNAcentral's name for it is "partial 16S ribosomal RNA". It matches the Rfam family "Bacterial small subunit ribosomal RNA", at positions 338 to 795 of the family's 1533-position model. The record is from RNAcentral.